GGUAAUAUGGCCGAGUAGGCAUUAGACUGUAAAUCUAAAGACAAGGGUUUAAGUCCCUUUAUUAUC
RNAcentral lists this transfer RNA (66 nucleotides) under Chrotopterus auritus. RNAcentral's name for it is "tRNA-Tyr". It matches the Rfam family "tRNA". From Rfam's summary of the family: Transfer RNA (tRNA) molecules are approximately 80 nucleotides in length. Their secondary structure includes four short double-helical elements and three loops (D, anti-codon, and T loops). The record is from RNAcentral. Lineage: Eukaryota; Metazoa; Chordata; Mammalia; Chiroptera; Phyllostomidae.